CUUGAGAUGAGGUCUCCCACCUGUGAAGGGUAAGGCCCCCGGUAGACGACCGGGUUGAUAGGCCGGGAGUGGAAGCGCGGUAACGUGUGGAGCUGACCGGUACUAAUAGGCCGAGGACUUGACCAUAU
This 128-nucleotide ribosomal RNA is filed under the name Herbidospora galbida. Its description in RNAcentral is "Herbidospora sp. NEAU-GS14 partial 23S ribosomal RNA". It matches the Rfam family "Bacterial large subunit ribosomal RNA", at positions 2798 to 2925 of the family's 2925-position model. Lineage: Bacteria; Bacillati; Actinomycetota; Actinomycetes; Streptosporangiales; Streptosporangiaceae. The record is from RNAcentral.